This 87-nucleotide transfer RNA is filed under the name Candidatus Andersenbacteria bacterium RIFCSPHIGHO2_01_FULL_46_36. RNAcentral describes it as "tRNA-Ser". It matches the Rfam family "tRNA". Rfam says of the family: Transfer RNA (tRNA) molecules are approximately 80 nucleotides in length. Their secondary structure includes four short double-helical elements and three loops (D, anti-codon, and T loops). RNAcentral also lists the same sequence under 2 other names. The record is from RNAcentral. Lineage: Bacteria; Candidatus Anderseniibacteriota.
GGAAGCGUGGCUGAGUGGCCGAAAGCGCUAGUUUCGAAAACUAGUAAACCUUUACUGGUUUCAGAGGUUCGAAUCCUCUCGCUUCCG